GUCCCUAUAGCUCAGUGGAUAGAGCGCUUCCCUGCGGAGGAAGAGGUCGGGGGUUCGAGUCCUCCUGGGGACG
Molecule: transfer RNA, 73 nt
Filed under: Candidatus Daviesbacteria bacterium
Lineage: Bacteria; Candidatus Daviesiibacteriota
Description: tRNA-Arg
Rfam family: tRNA
About the family: Transfer RNA (tRNA) molecules are approximately 80 nucleotides in length. Their secondary structure includes four short double-helical elements and three loops (D, anti-codon, and T loops).
Source: RNAcentral